CCUACGGGCGGCAGCAGUGGGGAAUAUUGCAUAAUGGGCGCAAGCCUGAUGCAGCCAUGCCGCGUGUGUGAAGAAGGCCUUCGGGUUGUAAAGCACUUUCAGCGGGGAGGAAGGCGGUGAGGUUAAUAACCUCAUCGAUUGACGUUACCCGCAGAAGAAGCACCGGCUAACUCCGUGCCAGCAGCCGCGGUAAUACGGAGGGUGCAAGCGUUAAUCGGAAUUACUGGGCGUAAAGCGCACGCAGGCGGUCUGUCAAGUCGGAUGUGAAAUCCCCGGGCUCAACCUGGGAACUGCACUCGAAACUGGCAGGCUAGAGUCUUGUAGAGGGGGGUAGAAUUCCAGGUGUAGCGGUGAAAUGCGUAGAGAUCUGGAGGAAUACCGGUGGCGAAGGCGGCCCCCUGGACAAAGACUGACGCUCAGGUGCGAAAGCGUGGGGAGCAAACAGGAUUAGAUACCCCGGUAGUC
This 465-nucleotide ribosomal RNA is filed under the name uncultured Klebsiella sp. RNAcentral's name for it is "bacterial SSU rRNA". It matches the Rfam family "Bacterial small subunit ribosomal RNA", at positions 338 to 795 of the family's 1533-position model. The record is from RNAcentral. Lineage: Bacteria; Pseudomonadati; Pseudomonadota; Gammaproteobacteria; Enterobacterales; Enterobacteriaceae.